RNAcentral lists this ribosomal RNA (600 nucleotides) under Penicillium oxalicum. RNAcentral's name for it is "eukaryotic LSU rRNA". The stretch from base 218 to 371 matches the Rfam family "5.8S ribosomal RNA". The record is from RNAcentral. Lineage: Eukaryota; Fungi; Ascomycota; Eurotiomycetes; Eurotiales; Aspergillaceae.
UAACAAGGUUUCCGUAGGUGAACCUGCGGAAGGAUCAUUACCGAGUGAGGGCCCUCUGGGUCCAACCUCCCACCCGUGUUUAUCGUACCUUGUUGCUUCGGCGGGCCCGCCUCACGGCCGCCGGGGGGCAUCUGCCCCCGGGCCCGCGCCCGCCGAAGACACACAAACGAACUCUUGUCUGAAGAUUGCAGUCUGAGUACUUGACUAAAUCAGUUAAAACUUUCAACAACGGAUCUCUUGGUUCCGGCAUCGAUGAAGAACGCAGCGAAAUGCGAUAAGUAAUGUGAAUUGCAGAAUUCAGUGAAUCAUCGAGUCUUUGAACGCACAUUGCGCCCCCUGGUAUUCCGGGGGGCAUGCCUGUCCGAGCGUCAUUGCUGCCCUCAAGCACGGCUUGUGUGUUGGGCUCUCGCCCCCCGCUUCCGGGGGGCGGGCCCGAAAGGCAGCGGCGGCACCGCGUCCGGUCCUCGAGCGUAUGGGGCUUCGUCACCCGCUCUGUAGGCCCGGCCGGCGCCCGCCGGCGAACACCAUCAAUCUUAACCAGGUUGACCUCGGAUCAGGUAGGGAUACCCGCUGAACUUAAGCAUAUCAAUAAACGGAGGA